CUCAAAUGAUGAACCUAUAUCUUCAUGGUCCGUGUUUUUGAAAUAAUCUUGAUAAUAUUGAAGAUCUGAUGAG
Styela clava is the source of this 73-nucleotide small nucleolar RNA. RefSeq annotates it as small nucleolar RNA SNORD18. Lineage: Eukaryota; Metazoa; Chordata; Ascidiacea; Stolidobranchia; Styelidae. The record is from RefSeq and is a predicted model, not a curated record.